GUCCACGCUGUAAAACGAUGGGCACUAGGUGUUCGGGGUAUUGACCCCCUGAGUGCCGCAGCUAACGCAUUAAGUGCCCCGCCUGGGGACUACGGCCGCAAGGUUAAAACUCAAAGGAAUUGACGGGGGCCCGCACAAGCGGUGGAGCAUGUGGUUCAAUUCGACGCAACGCGAAGAACCUUACCUGGGCUAGACAACAUCGGACCGCCCCGGAAAAUGGGGUUUUCCCGCAAGGGACCGGUGGUUCAGGUGCUGCAUGGCUGUCGU
RNAcentral lists this ribosomal RNA (267 nucleotides) under uncultured bacterium. RNAcentral's name for it is "partial 16S ribosomal RNA". It matches the Rfam family "Bacterial small subunit ribosomal RNA", at positions 793 to 1055 of the family's 1533-position model. The record is from RNAcentral.